GGGCUGACCCGUCUUGAAGCACGGACCAAGGAGUCUAACAUGUACGCGAGUCAUUGAGAUUGUAAAACUCAAAGGCGUAAUGAAAGUGAAGAUCCGUUUACACGGAUUGAGGAAAGAUCAUGGCAAUACUAGGCAUUCCGCAAGGUUUGUCGAGUACUAAAUUGUAUGCGCAUUUCCUGGACGUCUAUACCUCUGAAGGUGGGGCGUACCUAGAGCGUACACGUUGGGACCCGAAAGAUGGUGAACUAUGCCUGGUCAGAACGAAGCCAGGGGAAACCCUGGUGGAGGUUCGUAGCGAUUCUGACGUGCAAAUCGAUCGUCGGAACUGGGUAUAGGGGCGAAAGACUAAUCGAACCAUCUAGUAGCUGGUUCCCUCCGAAGUUUCCCUCAGGAUAGCUGGCGUUCAUAAAACCAGUCUCAUCCGGUAAAGCGAAUGAUUAGAGGCCUUGGGGCCGAAACGACCUCAACCUAUUCUCAAACUUUAAAUGGGUGAGAAGUCUGGCUUGCUUGAUCGAAGCUCAGACAUUAUUUGGAUGGUGAGUGCCAAGUGGGCCACUCUUGGUAAGCAGAACUGGCGCUGUGGGAGU
RNAcentral lists this ribosomal RNA (587 nucleotides) under Deuterosminthurus sulphureus. RNAcentral's name for it is "partial 28S ribosomal RNA". It matches the Rfam family "Eukaryotic large subunit ribosomal RNA", at positions 641 to 1165 of the family's 3401-position model. Lineage: Eukaryota; Metazoa; Arthropoda; Collembola; Symphypleona; Bourletiellidae. The record is from RNAcentral.